RNAcentral lists this transfer RNA (77 nucleotides) under Acinetobacter bohemicus. RNAcentral's name for it is "tRNA-Arg". It matches the Rfam family "tRNA". From Rfam's summary of the family: Transfer RNA (tRNA) molecules are approximately 80 nucleotides in length. Their secondary structure includes four short double-helical elements and three loops (D, anti-codon, and T loops). Further hydrogen bonds mediate the characteristic L-shaped molecular structure. tRNAs have two regions of fundamental functional importance: the anti-codon, which is responsible for specific mRNA codon recognition, and the 3' end, to which the tRNAs corresponding amino acid is attached (by aminoacyl-tRNA synthetases). tRNAs cope with the degeneracy of the genetic code in two manners: having more than one tRNA (with a specific anti-codon) for a particular amino acid; and 'wobble' base-pairing, i.e. permitting non-standard base-pairing at the 3rd anti-codon position. The record is from RNAcentral. Lineage: Bacteria; Pseudomonadati; Pseudomonadota; Gammaproteobacteria; Moraxellales; Moraxellaceae.
GUGCCAUUAGCUCAGCUGGAUAGAGCAUCCGCCUUCUAAGCGGAUGGUCACAGGUUCAAGUCCUGUAUGGCGCACCA